CCUACGGGAGGCAGCAGUGAGGAAUAGUGGUCAAUGGGCGCGAGCCUGAACCAGCCAAGUAGCGUGAAGGAUGACUGCCCUACGGGUUGUAAACUUCUUUUAUAAAGGAAUAAAGUGAGGCACGUGGGCCUUUUUGUAUGGACGUUAUGAAUAAGGAUAGGCGAACUCCGUGCCAGCAGCCGCGGUAAUACGGAGGAUCCGAGCGUUAUCCGGAUUUAUUGGGUUUAAAGGGAGCGUAGAGGGGUUGUUAAGUCCGUUGUGAAAGUUUGCGGCUCAACCGUAAAAUUGCCAUUGAUACUGGCAGCCUUGAGUCCAGUUGCGGUAGGCGGAAUUCGUUGUGUAGCGGU
This 347-nucleotide ribosomal RNA is filed under the name uncultured bacterium. Its description in RNAcentral is "partial 16S ribosomal RNA". It matches the Rfam family "Bacterial small subunit ribosomal RNA", at positions 338 to 682 of the family's 1533-position model. The record is from RNAcentral.